GGAUGCGAACAUACCAGCACUAAAGCACCCGAUCCCAUCAGAACUCCGAAGUUAAGCGUGCUGGGGUGAGAGUCGUACUAGGAUGGGUGUCCUCGUGUUGCAUUCC
Non-coding RNA from Triticum aestivum (bread wheat), 106 nucleotides. The record is from Rfam. Lineage: Eukaryota; Viridiplantae; Streptophyta; Magnoliopsida; Poales; Poaceae.